UCUGGCUCGGGUACCUCUUCCCAGGGUCAGGGCGUUACAAAGGGAGGCUGCUGUCUUCCCAUGAAUCUAUUAGGGACCUACAGGAGCGAAGAGAACCCUUCUGAGUAUCAGCGAAGACAGCUUAUUAAGACUUUACGAGUUUGCAAGCCAUCCUCGUCCUAUUUCCUCACUUCGGACUUUUUGGACACACCUUCCUUUUCCUGUGAGCCAACCCAAACGAAUGAGUUACAAG
Molecule: long non-coding RNA, 232 nt
Filed under: Homo sapiens (human)
Lineage: Eukaryota; Metazoa; Chordata; Mammalia; Primates; Hominidae
Description: HSALNT0225031
Source: RNAcentral